UACGUAGGUGUCAAGCGUUGUCCGGAUUUAUUGGGCGUAAAGCGUCUGUAGGUGGUUUAACAAGUCCACUGUUAAAAAUUGAAGCUUAACUUCAAAGAUGCCGUGGAAACUUUUAAACUUGAGUAUGGUAGGGGUAGAGGGAAUUUCCAGUGGAGCGGUGAAAUGCGUAGAUAUUGGAAAGACCACCAAUGGCGAAGGCACUCUACUGGGCCAUUACUGACACUGAGAGACGAAAGCUAGGGGAGCAAAUGGG
This 253-nucleotide ribosomal RNA is filed under the name uncultured bacterium. Its description in RNAcentral is "partial 16S ribosomal RNA". It matches the Rfam family "Bacterial small subunit ribosomal RNA", at positions 524 to 776 of the family's 1533-position model. The record is from RNAcentral.